GGAGGGAUGGCAGAGCGGACGAAUGCGAGGCUCUUGAAAAGCCUUGGGGCUGCGGCUCCCGUGGGUUCGAAUCCCACUCCCUCCG
RNAcentral lists this transfer RNA (85 nucleotides) under Actinomycetota bacterium. RNAcentral's name for it is "tRNA-Ser". It matches the Rfam family "tRNA". From Rfam's summary of the family: Transfer RNA (tRNA) molecules are approximately 80 nucleotides in length. The record is from RNAcentral. Lineage: Bacteria; Bacillati; Actinomycetota.